RNAcentral lists this long non-coding RNA (3497 nucleotides) under Elaeis guineensis (African oil palm). Its description in RNAcentral is "long non-coding RNA (EGUI_LNC021037)". Lineage: Eukaryota; Viridiplantae; Streptophyta; Magnoliopsida; Arecales; Arecaceae. The record is from RNAcentral.
CCUGUCCAUAUCAUAAGAAGGAUAAAACAACUUUACAAUCAUUCUUCAGGCCUGUAAAUUUGGAUAUUUGAAUGGGUGCAAAUUCCACCAUAGUCCAUCCAUGCAGGUAUCGGAAAUAUCUGAACUCAUCUAGUUCUUUCACAUUUUAUAGUUUGAGAAGUAAAGAUCAUAUGCUUUUUUCAGGUGGUGUAUAGUUAUAUCAGCCUCCUAAACAGUCUUACUUCCUUUACUAAACAUGACAUGAUUUCAUGCUCUAAAAUUACUGGACAAGUUAUUUGCUGCUCUUUAAUCUGCUGACCUCUGUUAUCAAUGGAUAUGCACAUGAUAAUGGAGUCUUGCAGCUUCCUUGUGGAAUAGGGGCGACAGAAUAUUGAAAUUUUGGCUUCUCAGUAUCUUAACUUUAGCUAACAAAAAUAUUCAAAUGUCAUGCAAAUGAUAGAGACAAAGGAACUGCAAAUUUCUUGCCUUGGGGUAGAAAGGAAAGAGCAUCACUCUCAAGAACUGACAUGGAGAACAUAAUGCUGAACUCGACCACAUUGCCUCCAUAAUUUAAUAGGUUCAUUAUUAACCAGGUCGAUGGUGUCAUUUUGAUUUUUGGAACUUUUUAUUGUUCCAUGUGGUUAUGAUUCAGAUGCUUUGCUUGCUGUAAGUCUCUUGACUUCUUGGGAACUUCCUACUUGUUUAUAUAAUUAAAGUGCAAAAGUUGGUCCAUAUGUAUACCUAUAUCUGCUAAUUAUUUAUUGCAAAGUGCUAUCUGUUUCAGGUUGUACAUUGGUUUUAGUACUUAUGUCCAUUCAUUUGCAUCCCUCAAAUUAGCGAGCGAAUGAUCCCAUGCAUUUCCUGUGCCUUUCUGGACUGUGGAGGUGGUAUUAGUUUCACUACGCCUAGCAAAUUGCAAUGGUUCCCUUCAAAUUUCCUACAUUGUUUCUGUUUGUUUGAAUAAUUACCUGAUUGUGAAUAUAUGCAAUUUUUUUCCCCUAACAAGCUAAAAUUGUUACACUGAUUGUUGAGUUGUUUACUGCUUGCUAUAUAUUUGCACCAGUUGCCUGUUGAUUUUGAGCUUUGUGCAUUGUGCAUUGCCUGAUCUUGGCUAGAUUCAAGACAUAUAGAUAUGCCCAUACGUUUCAUGCCUUUUUCGGCUGCAAUUAUGCAGUCUUGCAGCAUGUCUGCUGCCACUAUCAAACAAAUUCAGUUACUAUCAAUGGAAUACGUAGUAGUUCCUAAGAUGCAUGGUCUGGUAUCAACAACUUCUGAUGCUAUAUACAGGACCAAUUUUCACACUAUCAGUUGACCAUCUUCCUGUCAGGGAAUAGUGCUUGAUCAUGUACUAUGGCAUUGUCCUGUAUAAUUGGUCGAUCACAACUAAUUUAGUAGUGUUCUCACACUUCACUUUCUAGCAUGCAUUGAAUGGUCAACUGAUUGGGUGUUUCUCCAUGUUGAAACAAACGUGAAAAUGAUUUUGUAUAUAUUACUGCUUGGCCAAUGGGAAAUAAUAUCUUGGUUUUAUUUUUGUAAGGUAUGAGAUGCGGUGGAUAGUUGCCGCAUUAGCUGCAGCACCUACUCAGUCAUGUUAUAUGGGAUUUGGCAAUAUUAAUGCGUUAGUGAGUUCUAUUGCUAGGGAAGGUCUGCAAACAAUUCUCUGUGUUUGCUUCUCCUUUCCAUUAUCAUAUUGCGCUUAACAAAAAUUGGAAAAAUGGUGAAAGGAAGAUCUCUAGAGCACGAAGUGCUUACAAAUUAAAGUCGUGGUUAGUCAUUCAAUCGAAAUACAACUUAAUUAAUCAACAUUUGGUGAAAGGCUAGUAAGUUGUUGAUGGUAGAAUAUUACUGGGGAUACAACUAUUUGUCCAAACAACUACCUGAAGCUAAUGAGUUGAGCAGAAUGGUAUGCCACAUUUUUUUUAAAUAGGAUCAUUGAAACUGAAAAAAUAUAAAUUAUAUGCAUGAAUUGUAGAACAAAAGAGUACCAAGCUUUUAAGUUGUCAAGUUGUGGCUAGUCACUCUAUGGAAAUACAACUCAGUCAAUCAACAGUAUGCAGAAACCUUGCAAGUUGUGAUUGUUUAUAGCAGAAAAAGCCAGGCUAUGGCGCUAUUGCAACAAUCUUCACACUUGACGAAUCUAAGCUAAAGAAAUAGCAGGUCUGGUAACAUGCACCCUGGAACCCUACACAUGCACUCACAAAGAAUCUGACCAUAUUGCUUAUGCUGGAUCCAAAAAAGUCUGUUAAAAACUGAUUGAUGGGAAUCUUCAUGUUGAAUCAUCGUAUGUAGCAAUUGAUUCUGCCUUUUGUAAGUGCAGUGCCGUUGUGUUUUCUUAAGGAGCUGGAUCUUCAAAGUAGAAUGAAGCAAUGGUGAGCUUAGUGUGAGUAUUUUAAGAGUGAUGUUGUUUAAAUUUGCAACCGUUUGGGAUCUCUACGAGUUUAAUUAAUCGUAAGAUUAAUUUUCUUUUGGAAAUGAAUUUAUUGAUCACCAAAUUCCUUGUAUUUUACUUUUUGUCUAAUGCAUUUGUGUAUUUGCUGCAGUUUGUCUGCCAACAAAUUUUUAUUUAUGUUCAUCCACACCCCUAGAGUUUAGCUUGUUAAGUGUAUUUGUUAAUAUAACCGAUUAGAACAAUAUAUGAUUGCAGGGGGCUCAUUGGGAUCCAAUCAUGAGAGUGGUUGGUUUUAUGUUGCCAAGAGAACAUAGAGAGAGAGAGAGAGAGCUGAAAAUUUUCCUACAUUCUAGCUCUGGCACAGUGUUGAGUUGUGGAGAACCGAGAUCAACACAUCACAUUUGAAAUUUACAUCAUCAAACUAGUAUAUGCUUCUAUAUAUAUCAUGUGAAAUCUAUCGGGCAUGUUCAUUUUACAAAAGCAUGGAUUGGGCAGUUUUUGCCUGAUUCUAAGGGCUUGUGAUCGGUGAAAGUAUUUCUUUUUCAGGUUCUGAUCAUCGGUUAUAACCUGCUGAAUUCAAGCCAUGACUGUUCAGGUAUUUGUCUUGGCUGACUUUUGCCAUGACUAUGUGAAAAGGAACCGUGAAAGCCACCUGGAUGCUUGAGGAGCCUGCAUCUUUUUUAAUGCUCGGUUCCGAAAGAUCAGUAGGCAAGCCUUUACAGCUCAUGCUAUCUACAUGAACUUCUAUUUUGACAUAAACUUUCUAUUGUUCGUCCUUGAUUUUAAAUUCAUGGACAUCUAAAUUCUGCUAGUCACGCCAUUCUAUUUCAUGGACACGUCAAAAGAAUCCGGAUAGGAUGCAAUUUGUGACUUUUACAAAGACUUAGAUCUUCUAUUAAUAGUGUUUUAGAAGAUGAUAUUCUCUUUAGCCUCCCGGCUGCUGCAGUAUGAAACCAUCUAGCUGAGGUCCUGGGAAAUCUCUGUAUUACAUUGUUAGUCCUGUGAAGACCGGAUCUGGUUACAAAUAUUUUAUUUCUGUUUCUGGCAAAUGUUCCAAAUGGACAAAAAUGCCAAUUUCACCCGCUAUACCAGUGUCCCACUUUUCAUCUCUUGUUAAUUCUGUGCUAAG